AGUAACACUCUGGGAGGGCUCAAACCACAUAACCAAAUGUGCCAAGAUAAUCCUGAGCUCACUAUUGUCAGUCCUGAAGAUUUUCCUCAGAUAAUCUUUCAUCUCUUUGUUCCUGAGACUAUAUAUUAGAGGAUUACAGAGUGGUGUUAUCACAGAAAAGAACAAGGCUUUUCUGAUCCAAGAUCUCGGAUUGUUCAAAUCCAUGAGGUGGGACCACACUCAAGAAAAAGUCCAGGGUAAGCUUUCCAUCUAGAAUGAUACCUUAACCACCAGUGAAAGAAGCAAGGUCAAUUUUCAUUGAUUCAAAUUAUAUUCAAAGUGGAUUUUUAUCUGAGAUCUACAACUUAUGAAGAAUACAAAUGAUGUAUAUUCUUUUCUACUCUUCAUGUAUGGACUAGAGGGGCUUGCACAGUAGUAAGAAAAAAAUGGCUGAGACCCACAGGAACAAAGAAACAGGACAGGAGUUAGAUGCAGAGAAGAGAUUUCAACAAAAGUUUGGAAAAGAUGCUAACGGUAGCAUAUGAGUCACAGACAGAACAUUGGCACCUUUGUUUAAGAAACUGAAUGUUAAUGUCACAUCUGCCUUUGGAGAUUACAAAUGAAAUGGCUACCUUUCUACUGGAACCCUGACCAGAAGUCUGCCAGUUAGUAAGCUGGCUUAAGAGAUCAAUCUAAAAUUUACAUAAGGCUUUUGAAAAAAAGAA
RNAcentral lists this long non-coding RNA (704 nucleotides) under Homo sapiens (human). RNAcentral's name for it is "novel transcript". The record is from RNAcentral. Lineage: Eukaryota; Metazoa; Chordata; Mammalia; Primates; Hominidae.